Molecule: ribosomal RNA, 929 nt
Filed under: Spirulina subsalsa Arz-B-11
Lineage: Bacteria; Bacillati; Cyanobacteriota; Cyanophyceae; Spirulinales; Spirulinaceae
Description: bacterial SSU rRNA
Rfam family: Bacterial small subunit ribosomal RNA
Source: RNAcentral
GCAUCGUGCUACACUGCAGUCGACGGAAUCUUCGGAUUUAGUGGCGGACGGGUGAGUAACACGUGAGAAUCUGGCUUCAGGAUGGGGAUAACAACUGGAAACGGUUGCUAAAACCCAAUGUGCCGAGAGGUGAAAUAUUUUACAGCCUGAAGAUGAGCUCGCGUCUGAUUAGCUAGAUGGUGGGGUAAAAGCCUACCAUGGCGACGAUCAGUAGCUGUUCUGAGAGGAAGAUCAGCCACACUGGGACUGAGACACGGCCCAGACUCCUACGGGAGGCAGCAGUGGGGAAUUUUCCGCAAUGGGCGAAAGCCUGACGGAGCAAUACCGCGUGCGGGAGGAAGGCCCUUGGGUCGUAAACCGCUUUUCUUAGGGAAGAAACCUGACGGUACCUAAGGAAUAAGCCUCGGCUAACUCCGUGCCAGCAGCCGCGGUAAUACGGAGGAGGCAAGCGUUAUCCGGAAUUAUUGGGCGUAAAGAGUCCGUAGGUGGUUCAUCAAGUCUGCGGUUAAAGAGUGCAGCUCAACUGCAUAAGGGCCGUGGAAACUGUUGAACUAGAGUAUGGUAGGGGUAGGGGGAAUUCCCAGUGUAGCGGUGAAAUGCGUAGAGAUUGGGAAGAACACCGGUGGCGAAAGCGCCCUACUGGGCCAUAACUGACACUGAGGGACGAAAGCUAGGGUAGCGAAUGGGAUUAGAUACCCCAGUAGUCCUAGCCGUAAACGAUGGAAACUAGGCGUAGCUUGUAUCGACCCGAGCUGUGCCGAAGCUAACGCGUUAAGUUUCCCGCCUGGGGAGUACGCACGCAAGUGUGAACUCAAAGGAAUUGACGGGGGCCCGCACUAGCGUGGAGUAUGUGGUUUAAUUCGAUGCAACGCGAAGAACCUUACCAAGGCUUGACAUCCCGCGAAUCCCCUUGAAAGGGGGAGUGCCUU